GWMAAAKGCACGAAGUUUGAUGGAGCGACACAGCGUGCAGGAUGAAGGCCCUAUGGGUUGUAAACUGCUGUGGUAAGAGAAGAAAAAACCGAGGAGGAAAUGCCUUGGUCUUGACGGUAUCUUAUUAGAAAGCAACGGCUAACUAUGUGCCAGCAGCCGCGGUAAUACAUAGGUUGCAAGCGUUAUCCGGAAUUAUUGGGCGUAAAGCGUCUGUAGGUUGUUUGUUAAGUCUGAUGUUAAAUUUUGGGGCUCAACCCCAACACGCAUUGGAUACUGGCAUACUAGAGUUAUGUAGAGGUUAAUGGAAUUCCUUGUGAAGCGGUGGAAUGCGUAGAUAUAAGGAAGAACACCAAUAUGGCGAAGGCAGUUAACUGGGCAUACACUGACACUGAGAGACRAAAGCGUGGGGAGCAAACAGGAUUAGAUACCCUGGUAGUCCACGCCCUAAACGAUGAUCAUUAGCUGAUGGGGAACUCAUCGGCGCAGSKRRSGSRUUAAAUGAUCCGCCUGAGUAGUACGUUCGCAAGAAUAAAACUUAAAGGAAUUGACGGGGAUCCGCACAAGCGGUGGAGCAUGUGGUUUAAUUUGAAGAUACGCGUAGAACCUUACCCACUCUUGACAUCUUCUGCAAAGCUAUAGAGAUAUAGUGGAGGUUAACAGAGUGACAGAUGGUGCAAAA
This 679-nucleotide ribosomal RNA is filed under the name uncultured Mycoplasma sp. RNAcentral describes it as "bacterial SSU rRNA". It matches the Rfam family "Bacterial small subunit ribosomal RNA", at positions 366 to 1048 of the family's 1533-position model. Lineage: Bacteria; Bacillati; Mycoplasmatota; Mollicutes; Mycoplasmatales; Mycoplasmataceae. The record is from RNAcentral.